This 577-nucleotide long non-coding RNA is filed under the name Gallus gallus (chicken). The record is from RNAcentral. Lineage: Eukaryota; Metazoa; Chordata; Aves; Galliformes; Phasianidae.
UAAAAAUCUCUGCUUUGUGUAGACGGUAACGUACUCAAUUACUCUCGGAGUAUUUAGCUCUUCUAGACAUAACAUCUGCAAUUCAAUUAAAUGUUUCAUCUAUUUUCUUCAUAUCGUUCCAGGAUAUAAACCUUGAUUCUGUUAAUCCAGUGUUGAUGCCUGUUUCAUUCUGACAAGGACAUUUUGUGAUUCUUUGAAACAAUGCAAUGCUUGGGAAUGAAAAGAAAAGAGAGUAUUUUGACUUAAGAAAAGCUACUAUGGAAUCAGAUGUUUUAAAGUUGACCCAGAAGAGGACUUGAUGAGGCUGGAUGAGGAAAUUAGAGCAUUCGGACUGGAACGUUAUGAGAUUACAAAACAAAUUUGAGCUCUCCCUGGAUCCAUGAAAGCCAUGGACCGCUCUUCUUCGAAGAGCAGAACCAUCAGCUCAGUCACAGAGAUUUCACACUUUUAUUCUGAAAGAGGCCACGAAAACAAUUCCUGUCCAUGAUAGAUGGUAGACGACUGGCCAACACUUCCCCAAGAGUAAGCCUACUUAACUGUGCUAUUACUGUCUGAUCAGCUGAAACGUGUACUUUUG